CUCAGGGAGACUGAUUUGAGUAAUAAUAAAACUACUGUCUCCCACACAGCCGGCUCUGCAUGAAUUGCUCUUUAUUGCAAUUCCCCUGUCUUGAGAAAUCGCUUCUGUCUAGGCAGCGGGCAAGGUGAGCCCAUUGGGCAGUUACAAGGAGACACGGAGACACAGAGACACAAAGACAGACACACAAAAAAGAGACUGUCAUGUGAAAAGACAGACACACAGAGAGAACAUCGUAAGAAGACAGAGGAGGAGAUUGGAGAGAAGCAACUGUAAGCCAAGGAACACCAAAGACUGCAGGAAACCCCAAAAACUAGGAACAGGGCAUGGAACAGAUUCUACCCAUAUUCUCAGGAAGAGUCCCUGCCAACACCUGGAAUUCAAGCUUCUGGAUUCCAGAUCUGGCCUCUCUCUGUCACUCAGGCUGGGGUGCGGUGGCAUGAUCACAGCUCACUGCAAUCUCUGCCUCCCAGGCUCAAGCAAUCCUCCCAUCUCAGCCUCCUGAGUAGCUGGGACCACAGAAAAAACCUGGGCUUAGAUAAUGAUUACGCCAAACCACUGGAUUCAAGAAAAAGCUCGUCAUGCCCAACUAUUGCAUGACAGUAUGUGAGAGCCAACCGACUAAAGAUAUUUUAGGAGAAUAAAAUAUUUGGAGAGCAUUGGAGUAAGGACUGUCAUUCCUGGAAUGGAAGCAUUUAAUUAAAAUGACCAUAAGCCUGAAGUGACUGGGGCAUGGGAAUAUCCUUGAUGAGAAGAUAGUGAAGCAUGUAACACCCUGGGAUAGAUGGUGCUGAUGGAACAUUUUGAGGAGACCCAAGUUGUUGGUGGAGGUGAUGGGAGACUCAGGACAACAGAAAGUAUGGGAUUUUCAAUGCUGCAGAAAUGGGGCUGAUAUGGUUUGGCUCUGUCCCCACCCAAAUAUCACCUUGAACUGUAGCUCCCAUAAUUCCCAUGUGUGGUGGGAGGGACCCAGUGGGAGGUAAUUGAAUCAUGGGGGCUGGUUUCUCCCAUGCUAUUCUCAUGAUAGUGAGUAAGUCUCACGAGAUCUGAUGGUUUUAUAAAGGGGAGUUUCCCUACACAAAUUCUGUCUUGCCUGCUGCCAUGUAAGACGUGACUUUGCUCCUUAUUCACCUUCUGCUGCGAUUGUGAUGCCACCCCCAGCCAUGAGUGAGCCAAACUCACUGUUACUGUGAGUCAAUUAAACCUCUUUCCUUUAUAAAUUACUCAGUCUCAGAUAUGUCUUUAUUAGUAGCAUGAGAACGGACUAAUACAGGGGCUCUGUUCUGACUAGGACAGAAAUUUAACACUUGGCAUCACAGAAUGGCCCCAACCUGAGCUAGCAGUGGGUGAAUGGUCAGCUCACAGUACAAGCUGCUUUUGGUAAACGUCUUGCAGACUGCAACCAGCCUAAAGCUAAAAUCACAGUAAAUAAGCAUGAGCGGAUAUAAAAGAGAGAUGAUAGAUUUGUGAUUUGUUGACAUAACCACCAGGACAUCUGUAUCACAAGUGAAAAUUAUAGCCUGAUUCCCAGAUGCUGACCGCCAUGCAGGGAAAGGCCUAGCAAUGCAGUGAAUUCCUAAUUCAUUUAUUAGCUUUGAUGACUUUUCAUGGACUGGGAAGGAAAUCCCUAAAACAUAUGGAUCUUAUAUCCUCUUGUGAAGAAUGUUGGUUUCACAAGGCAGAAGGAAAAGAAAGAGCUAGUAGGAGAGCAACAUAUGAGGUGGCUUCUUUCUCUUAUAUGAAAUUUGUGGAUAUUAUUUUCAACUAAGACCUAGAAUCUGCA
RNAcentral lists this long non-coding RNA (1780 nucleotides) under Homo sapiens (human). RNAcentral's name for it is "PREDICTED lncRNA (TCONS_00273415)". Lineage: Eukaryota; Metazoa; Chordata; Mammalia; Primates; Hominidae. The record is from RNAcentral.